Molecule: unclassified non-coding RNA, 121 nt
Organism: Chlorocebus sabaeus (green monkey)
Lineage: Eukaryota; Metazoa; Chordata; Mammalia; Primates; Cercopithecidae
Source: Ensembl
ACUAGAGCCAAAUCUAUCUCAAAAGUUUAGGUCAUUUUUUUUUUCCUUUUUGAUAAUAUUCAAUGAGAAAUAACACUUUAAAUAAAACUUUUUUCAUGAGGAAGGUACAGUAAUUAUCCAC